AUGAGACAAGACAGAAACACAGAGAUAGUGAGAGAGUGCAGAUCAGAGGACACAGUUGUUCAGCCAGACAAACAUGUGACUGAAGGUGAAGGAAAAUCAGUAGAAUUAAAGUGUAAAUAUAAAGAAUAUUCAGCACAGGAUACUUUAUUCUGGUACGUCCAGAGAGAUAAUGACAUUCCUAAAUACAUCCUGAGGAGAAGCAAAUAUGGAGGAAAAGAUAAUGAUGCUCAGUUUCAGGAGAGAUUUCACUCUGAAGUGUCAUCAGAUUCAGUUCCACUGACAAUCAAGAACCUGCAUGUGUCUGACUCUGCUGUGUACUACUGUGCUCUGAGGCCCACAGUGAGAAAACUCAAGUCAAACCACAUACAAAAACACAAGAGCUGA
Non-coding RNA from Labeo rohita (rohu), 384 nucleotides. The record is from the annotation of a RefSeq genome assembly. Lineage: Eukaryota; Metazoa; Chordata; Actinopteri; Cypriniformes; Cyprinidae.